RNAcentral lists this long non-coding RNA (1227 nucleotides) under Astyanax mexicanus (Mexican tetra). Its description in RNAcentral is "lncRNA (ENSAMXG00005006334.1)". The record is from RNAcentral. Lineage: Eukaryota; Metazoa; Chordata; Actinopteri; Characiformes; Acestrorhamphidae.
AUCCAUCCGUAUAUCCAUCCAUCCGUAUAUCCAUCCGUCCAUCCAUCCAUCCGUAUAUCCAUCCAUCCAUCCGUAUAUCCAUCCAUCCGUAUAUCCAUCCAUCCAUCCAUCCAUCCAUCCAUCUAUCCAUCAGUAUAUCCAUCCAUCCGUAUAUCCAUCCAUCCAUCCAUCCAUCCAUCCAUCCAUCCAUCCAUAUUUGUUCUGUUCUAUUCCUUUAUGCUAUCUUCUAUUUUUUUCUCUCCUUAUCUCAAGAUGUCUCUUAGAUAACUCUUCUCACAACUACCUUUCUUUUCACCCUCCUCCACCUGUCUUCUACCUAUAUCUCUCCAUACUCCUCAUCAUUCCCUUUGUCCAUUGUCUUCAUCUGUUUUCCUUCUCAUACACCUCUUCAUUUGUUUACUGCUAAUGCCUAGAUCUCUCUCUCUCUCUCUCUCUCUCUUCUUUCAUCCAUCCACCACCUUUUGUCCUCCAUCUUCCUUAUCAUUUAAUCUGUUUCCUCCUCAUGCAUCUCUCCGUCUUCCUCUUCCAUUCUUUUGUUCCUGAUCUCUCCAAUUCCUUCUGAUCAACUCUAUCUCUCAUCAUUCUCUUCCAUUCUUUCUCUUUUCAUCUCUUGAUAUCUUAACACUUCACACAGCUAUGUAUUUUCUCUUCUCCUUAUACAUCUCUCCACCUCCUCCUUAUUUUUUCCUUUCAGCAUUGUCUAUUAUCCAUCUGUUUUCCUUCUUAUACAUCUGUCCAUUUGUUCACUUAUUAUCUCUAGAUGUCUGAUACCUUUUCUUAUUAUCACCACUCUCUCUUUCUCUCCUUAUACAUCUCACCAUCCAUCCACCUCCUUCUUAUCUGUCCAAUACUUCUCCAUCUUCCUUAUCAUUCUUUCUGUUCUUUUCUUUCUCUCCAUCCCUGUCUUCCAUUCUUCUUUUCAUCUCUCUAGAUGUCUGAUAGCUUUUCUCAUUAUCAUCUCUCUCUUUCACAUUCACUCCUCAUACACCUCACCAUCCAACCACCUCCUUCUUAUCUCUCCUAUACUUCUCCAUCUUCCCUAUCAUUCUUUCUACUCUUUCUUCUCUCCAUAGCUGUCUUCCAUUCUUAUUCUCAAAGGUAGAUGUGAUACCUUUUCUUAUUAUCACCACUUUCUCUUUUCCUCUCAUUCUCUCUUCCUUUCUCUCCAUAUUCUCUCCUUAUCAUUUUCCUGUUCUCUUCCUUCUCUCCUUAUCACUGUCUUCCAUU